RNAcentral lists this ribosomal RNA (301 nucleotides) under uncultured bacterium. RNAcentral describes it as "partial 16S ribosomal RNA". It matches the Rfam family "Bacterial small subunit ribosomal RNA", at positions 509 to 809 of the family's 1533-position model. The record is from RNAcentral.
CAGCCGCCGCGGUAAUACGUAGGUGGCAAGCGUUGUCCGGAAUUACUGGGCGUAAAGCGCACGUAGGCGGAUAUUUAAGUCAGGGGUGAAAUCCCAGAGCUCAACUCUGGAACUGCCUUUGAUACUGGGUAUCUUGAGUAUGGAAGAGGUGAGUGGAAUUCCGAGUGUAGAGGUGAAAUUCGUAGAUAUUCGGAGGGACACCAGUGGCGAAGGCGGCUCACUGGUCCAUUACUGACGCUGAGGUGCGAAAGCGUGGGGAGCAAACGGGAUUAGAGACCCCUGUAGUCCCUGUCUCUUAUAU